GUCUAUGGCCAUGCCACUCUGAACAAGCCCGAUCCCGUCUGAUCUCGGAAGCUAAGCAGUGUCAGGCCUCGUUAAAUAUUGGAUGGGAGACCACCUAGGAAGAUCAAGUGCUGCUGUAGGUG
Pteropus vampyrus (large flying fox) is the source of this 122-nucleotide ribosomal RNA. Lineage: Eukaryota; Metazoa; Chordata; Mammalia; Chiroptera; Pteropodidae. The record is from Ensembl.